Molecule: ribosomal RNA, 453 nt
Filed under: uncultured Porphyromonadaceae bacterium
Lineage: Bacteria; Pseudomonadati; Bacteroidota; Bacteroidia; Bacteroidales; Porphyromonadaceae
Description: partial 16S ribosomal RNA
Rfam family: Bacterial small subunit ribosomal RNA
Source: RNAcentral
ACGGAAGGCAGCAGUGAGGAAUAUUGGUCAAUGGGCGGAAGCCUGAACCAGCCAAGUCGCGUGAAGGAUGAAGGUAUUAUGUAUUGUAAACUUCUUUAGUCGUAGAGAAAUAAGGUGCUCGUGAGCACUGAUGCUAGUAUACGAAGAAUAAGGAUCGGCUAACUCCGUGCCAGCAGCCGCGGUAAUACGGAGGAUCCGAGCGUUAUCCGGAUUUAUUGGGUUUAAAGGGUGCGCAGGCGGCUUUUUAAGUCAGUGGUCGAAUCGUGGGGCUCAACCCCAUCCCGCCAUUGAUACUGGAGAGCUUGAUUGCGGUCGAGGUUGGCGGAAUUCGUCGUGUAGCGGUGAAAUGCAUAGAUAUGACGAAGAACACCGAUUGCGUAGGCAGCUGACCAGGCCGUAAAUGACGCUCAUGCACGAAAGUGCGGGGAUCGAACAGGAUUAGAUACCCUGGUA